RNAcentral lists this ribosomal RNA (898 nucleotides) under Amphidinium operculatum. RNAcentral describes it as "LSU rRNA". It matches the Rfam family "Eukaryotic large subunit ribosomal RNA", at positions 22 to 966 of the family's 3401-position model. The record is from RNAcentral. Lineage: Eukaryota; Dinophyceae; Amphidiniales; Amphidiniaceae.
UACCCGCUGAAUUUAAGCAUAUAAGUAGGUGGAGGAAAAGAAACCGAAUGGGAAUCUCUUAGUAAUGGCGAAUGAAAGGAGAUGUGCUUAGUGUCAAAAUCAGAUUACUCUGACUUGUAGGCUGUAAGGGCUUUGCCAACUUGGGUGCAGGUGCAAGUCUCUUGGAAAGGAGCACCAGUGAGGGUCAAGGUCCCGUCUGGCAUCUGUCAUCCCUCGUAGACGGUCUGCCCAUUGAGAGUCGUGUUCUUCUGGAGUAGAGCGCCAAUUGGGUGGUACUCUUUGCCCAAGGAGGAUUACGUGCUUGAGACCAAUAGUGAACAAGUACCAUGAGGGAAGGAUGAAAAGGACUUUGGAAAGAGGGUUAAGAGGGCAUGAAGCUGCUGGAAGGGAAGUGGAUUGGACUUUUACAUCGCAGUAAGAUUGCAGUCUGUGAUCUCCACUUGUGGGGCAUUGCGUGCUGUGUUUCUUGCUGCUUGGUUGGGUUUUGCGUUGUGCCCAGAAUCUCAGUUUUGACUGGCAGAAGGAUUGCGAUCUGGACCAUGUCAUUGCCUACUUUUGGCGCAGCAUUCAACCUUGACCAACAGGUUCAAUUUUACCCGUCUUGAAACACGGACCAAGGAGUCUAUUGCGUGGGCACGUGCCUGGGCAUCACACCUGACAUCUCAGCACAGGUGACUGCUGAGACCUCUGCACCACCAACCAACUGAUCGCUUAUGAGAUGUUUGUGUAUGAGCACACUUGCUAGGACCCGAAAGGUGGUGAACUAUGCCUGAGAAGGGUGACGUCAGGGGAAACUCUGAUGGAUGCUCGUAUCGCUACUGACGUGCAAAUCGUUCGUCUGACUUGGGUAUAUGGGCGAAAGACUAAUCUAACCUUCUAUAUCUGGUUCCCUCCGAAA